Molecule: ribosomal RNA, 497 nt
Filed under: uncultured bacterium
Lineage: Bacteria
Description: partial 16S ribosomal RNA
Rfam family: Bacterial small subunit ribosomal RNA
Source: RNAcentral
GAUGAACGCUGGCGGCGUGCCUAAUACAUGCAAGUCGAGCGGACAGACGAGGAGCUUGCUCCUCUGACGUUAGCGGCGGACGGGUGAGUAACACGUGGAUAACCUACCUAUAAGACUGGGAUAACUUCGGGAAACCGGAGCUAAUACCGGAUAAUAUAUUGAACCGCAUGGUUCAAUAGUGAAAGACGGUUUUGCUGUCACUUAUAGAUGGAUCCGCGCCGCAUUAGCUAGUUGGUAAGGUAACGGCUUACCAAGGCAACGAUGCGUAGCCGACCUGAGAGGGUGAUCGGCCACACUGGAACUGAGACACGGUCCAGACUCCUACGGGAGGCAGCAGUAGGGAAUCUUCCGCAAUGGGCGAAAGCCUGACGGAGCAACGCCGCGUGAGUGAUGAUGGUCUUCGGAUCGUAAAACUCUGUUAUUAGGGAAGAACAAAUGUGUAAGUAACUAUGCACGUCUUGACGGUACCUAAUCAGAAAGCCACGGCUAACUACGUG